UUAAAUUGAAGAGUUUGAUCAUGGCUCAGAUUGAACGCUGGCGGCAGGCCUAACACAUGCAAGUCGAGCGGUAGCACAGAGAGCUUGCUCUCGGGUGACGAGCGGCGGACGGGUGAGUAAUGUCUGGGAAACUGCCUGAUGGAGGGGGAUAACUACUGGAAACGGUAGCUAAUACCGCAUAACGUCGCAAGACCAAAGUGGGGGACCUUCGGGCCUCAUGCCAUCAGAUGUGCCCAGAUGGGAUUAGCUAGUAGGUGGGGUAACGGCUCACCUAGGCGACGAUCCCUAGCUGGUCUGAGAGGAUGACCAGCCACACUGGAACUGAGACACGG
This 332-nucleotide ribosomal RNA is filed under the name Klebsiella pneumoniae. RNAcentral describes it as "bacterial SSU rRNA". It matches the Rfam family "Bacterial small subunit ribosomal RNA", at positions 1 to 329 of the family's 1533-position model. Lineage: Bacteria; Pseudomonadati; Pseudomonadota; Gammaproteobacteria; Enterobacterales; Enterobacteriaceae. The record is from RNAcentral.